RNAcentral lists this transfer RNA (71 nucleotides) under Phycisphaerae bacterium. RNAcentral describes it as "tRNA-Gln". It matches the Rfam family "tRNA". Rfam says of the family: Transfer RNA (tRNA) molecules are approximately 80 nucleotides in length. Their secondary structure includes four short double-helical elements and three loops (D, anti-codon, and T loops). Lineage: Bacteria; Pseudomonadati; Planctomycetota; Phycisphaerae. The record is from RNAcentral.
UCGCGCGUCGGCCAACGGUAGGCCAACGGACUCUGGCUCCGUGAAUGGAGGUUCGAAUCCUUCCCCGCGAA